Long non-coding RNA from Biomphalaria glabrata, 1434 nucleotides. RefSeq lists it as uncharacterized. Lineage: Eukaryota; Metazoa; Mollusca; Gastropoda; Planorbidae. The record is from RefSeq and is a predicted model, not a curated record. The transcript is spliced from 3 exons.
UACGCCGAGUAUCGUCCAUAAAGGACUAUGUUUGACCCACGUACGCCAGGAAAGUGUAAGGUCAGGAUAACUGUGUACGUUGGGAAUUCAAGGAAUAGUAUCGCGUAACAUUUUAUUUUCUCCGAUGAAACAUCCGCGUGACUUUGGGCUUUCUUGUUGGUAGUUUGGAAUCACUCUCAUAGGUCUAGUCUCACAAGCAAAAUCUUAAAAAUACUUUUAAAACGAAAAGUAUUAUCGAAUGGGAAGAAUUCCAUAUUUACAAUCACGCAUCUAAAUAAUGACGCUGUACAGUGGACAGGGUUCGCACUCGGCAUCUCGGUGAUGACAGACAUAAGAGCGUACCACAACGGCCAGCAGCCCCCUUCACGGGAAGGUUAGGCAUUAUACAGCUCUUCCAAUUCAUUGUGAGAAAAAAACAACAACUCUCAACCAGUGCACACACAAGUUUAAACUAGUUCACCCGAAAUAGCUUGCUGUGUGUUGCACCAAGUAGAUGGCUUCCUUCCGGUAAAGUGCAGAGAGCUGAUACAUGGAGAGUAGCAUUACUUCAUUAGUAGCGUGAGUGUCCAACGCCUAGACAGAUACCUCUGAUACCCAGGAGGAUGCACAAUUCAGUUUGACCACAGACCAUUGUCUACUAGCAGAUACACUGUCAAGACUUAGCAUAUUUGUAUUAGUUAUAAUUGUUAGAAUUCAUUUUUUUCCCAAUACAAUGUGAAACGUGCCUUUAACUAUUAGAGAUGGUAUCUUGUCGUAUAUUAUUGCUAUACAUAGGAGUUGAUCUUUUCUUGUAUGUUUGCUGUUUUACAUAUUAAAUAUUAACGUGGAAAGGACUAGGCUUGUCGACUUCAAAUUGUAAUUUAACUCUCCAUGCCACUAUUUUUUUUUCUCAUUUAUUCUUUUCUCUCUUUCCCUUUGUUGUAAAUAGCUGGACAUAUUUCUUUUGUUAGGCUAAUAAGGGCUAUUUCACUUUCAUGUACAUUAUAUAAAUUUGUGUGUAGAUAUAUAUGUUUAUAUAUAUGUAUAUAAGUAUGUGUAUGACACAGUGUGUGUAUGUAUGUAUAUUUAUGUAUAUAUUUGAAUGACUGUUAUCUAAUAACAGUCAUAUCGUGAGAGGGGGGAUGUCAGGGAGAGGUAUGGCGAGAAUGAAUAUUAGUUUGAUAUUUGGUAUGAUUGUUAUAUCCCCUUGUUAUGAAUGCGAAGUGUUGCACGUGUUGUGAACUGAGUGAUAAGUCUUCGUUGAAUGUGCGAGAGAAUGUGUUAGUCAGUAAGGUCUUGCUCCCGGUCCAGGAAGGUUGGACGUUUACUUCCUGGACUGGUAUUUAUGUAUUUAUAAGUUGAUGGACUGGUGUUUUGUGUAUUACUAUUUCAUAAGAGUGAUAUAAUUGUGCGCGUUAUCAAGUAUUAAAGUAUUGUUGAUAUUCAUAAAUAUAA